RNAcentral lists this ribosomal RNA (253 nucleotides) under uncultured bacterium. RNAcentral describes it as "partial 16S ribosomal RNA". It matches the Rfam family "Bacterial small subunit ribosomal RNA", at positions 524 to 776 of the family's 1533-position model. The record is from RNAcentral.
UACGUAGGGUGCGAGCGUUAAUCGGAAUUACUGGGCGUAAGGUGUGCGCAGGUGGCCGCGCAAGUCGAGUGUGAAAGCCCCGGGCUUAACUUGGGAAUUGCGCUCGAAACUACGUGGCUCGAGUGUGGCAGAGGAAGGUGGAAUUCCACGUGUAGCGGUGAAAUGCGUAGAGAUGUGGAGGAACACCGAUGGCGAAGGCAGCCUUCUGGGCCAACACUGACACUCAUGCACGAAAGCGUGGGGAGCAAACAGG